Molecule: ribosomal RNA, 509 nt
Filed under: bacterium SNB-CN8
Lineage: Bacteria
Description: bacterial SSU rRNA
Rfam family: Bacterial small subunit ribosomal RNA
Source: RNAcentral
UGGCGGCUGCCUAUACAUGCAAGUCGAGCGAAUGGAUUGAGAGCUUGCUCUCAAGAAGUUAGCGGCGGACGGGUGAGUAACACGUGGGUAACCUGCCCAUAAGACUGGGAUAACUCCGGGAAACCGGGGCUAAUACCGGAUAAUAUUUUGAACUGCAUGGUUCGAAAUUGAAAGGCGGCUUCGGCUGUCACUUAUGGAUGGACCCGCGUCGCAUUAGCUAGUUGGUGAGGUAACGGCUCACCAAGGCAACGAUGCGUAGCCGACCUGAGAGGGUGAUCGGCCACACUGGGACUGAGACACGGCCCAGACUCCUACGGGAGGCAGCAGUAGGGAAUCUUCCGCAAUGGACGAAAGUCUGACGGAGCAACGCCGCGUGAGUGAUGAAGGCUUUCGGGUCGUAAAACUCUGUUGUUAGGGAAGAACAAGUGCUAGUUGAAUAAGCUGGCACCUUGACGGUACCUAACCAGAAAGCCACGGCUAACUACGUGCCAGCAGCCGCGRGUAAUACA